GAUGAACGCUGGCGGCGUGCCUAAUACAUGCAAGUCGAGCGAACAGACGAGGAGCUUGCUCCUCUGACGUUAGCGGCGGACGGGUGAGUAACACGUGGAUAACCUACCUAUAAGACUGUGAUAACUUCGGGAAACCGGAGCUCAUACCGGAUAAUAUAUUGAACCGCAUGGUUCAAUAGUGAAAGACGGUUUUGCUGUCACUUAUAGAUGGAUCCGCGCCGCAUUAGCUCGUUGGUAAGGUAACGGCUUACCAAGGCAACGAUGCGUAGCCGACCUGAGAGGGUGAUCGGCCACACUGGAACUGAGACAAGGUCCAGACUCCUACGGGAGGCAGCAGUAGGGAAUCUUCCGCAAUGGGCGAAAGCCUGACGGAGCAACGCCGCGUGAGUGAUGAAGGUCUUCGGAUCGUAAAACACUGUUAUUAGGGAAGAACAAAUGUGUAAGUAACUAUGCACGUCUUGACGGUACCUAAUCAGAAAGCCACGGCUAACUACGUG
RNAcentral lists this ribosomal RNA (497 nucleotides) under uncultured bacterium. Its description in RNAcentral is "partial 16S ribosomal RNA". It matches the Rfam family "Bacterial small subunit ribosomal RNA", at positions 28 to 507 of the family's 1533-position model. The record is from RNAcentral.